GUGGUACUACUGAUAAGAAGAGUUGAGAACAGAAUCAAUUUUCUUGUGAUAAUUUUUGAAUCUAAUAUUUUAUACAUAUGUAAAUAAUUACAUAUAUUAAAAAAUAUAAUUAUAAAAAAUAUUAUUAUUGACAGUUUACAUUAAUUGCUCGUAAAAUAAAUAAUAUAUAAAUUUAACUUUGUUCUAUUAUAUUCGGCUGUAAUCUAUUCAAUCAAUCGAAGACACGUUUUUGACAGUUCUUUUCAAUUAGCGGGUGAUUUAUUUAACUUAUAUAUAGAAUAAAAAGUAAAAAUAAAAAUAAAAUUAUUGAUAUUUCAAUACAAUAUUAUUAAGUCUUGUUUCUGAAAAUGUAUGUAAAUUUCUAUUUCAAAAUUGAAUAAAGAAUGAAGAAUGGUUAAGUCAAUAAUAUAUAGGUUAAACAUGAAUCUUUUAAAGUGAUUCUAUUAUUAAAAGUAAUAAAAAAAAUGGAUAACGUUUCGACUGCAGAGUGUUUAACUCUUGAUUUUGGUCCCUUCGAAACUGUUCAUCGUUGGCAACGUAUGCCAGAAUGCGACGAAUUCGUUGGUGCUAGGCGUAGCAAACAUACUGUUGUAGCCUAUAAAGAUGCAAUCUAUGUGUUUGGUGGUGAUAAUGGUAAAAGAAUGUUAAAUGAUUUGUUGAGAUUUGAUGUGAAAGAAAAAUCUUGGGGACGUGCAUUUGCAACAGGAGCACCUCCUGCCCCAAGAUAUCAUCAUUCUGCAGUUGUGCAUGAUUCUUCUAUGUUUGUAUUUGGUGGUUAUACUGGUGAUAUACAUUCCAAUUCAAAUCUCACCAAUAAAAAUGAUUUAUUUGAGUACCGAUUCCAAACUGGUCAAUGGACAGAAUGGAAAUUUAUUGGGAAAACACCUGUAGCUAGAUCUGCACAUGGAGCUGCUGUAUAUGAUAAUAAAUUAUGGAUAUUUGCUGGCUAUGAUGGCAAUGCAAGAUUGAAUGAUAUGUGGACUAUAUCAUUAUUACCUGGAGAAUUAAGAGUAUGGGAAGAAGUUGAUCAAUCUGGUGAUUGUCCACCAACAUGUUGCAAUUUUCCUGUUGCUGUAGCACGUGAAUCUAUGUUCGUAUUUAGUGGCCAGAGUGGAGCUAAAAUUACAAAUAGUCUCUUUCAAUUUCACUUUCGAGAAAAACGAUGGACGCGAAUUUCAACGGAACAUAUACUUCGUGGUGCACCACCUCCGCCAGCACGACGAUAUGGUCAUACUAUGGUCAGCUUUGAUAGAUAUCUUUAUGUAUUUGGCGGAGCAGCUGAUUCUACGCUGCCAAAUGAUCUUCAUUGUUAUGAUCUUGAUACACAAACAUGGAAUAUUAUUUUGCCAUCUGCUGAUAGUCAGGUUCCAUCUGGUCGUCUGUUUCACGCAGCAGCAGUAAUUGGAGAAGCGAUGUUUAUUUUUGGCGGAACAGUUGACAAUAAUGUACGAUCUGGAGAGACAUAUCGAUUUCAAUUUUCGUCGUAUCCAAAAUGUACUUUGCAUGACGAUUUCGGAAGAUUGUUAAGCGGGCGUCUUUUCUGUGAUGUAGAAUUUAUAGUAGGAGAUACUGAAACAAAAAUACCUGCUCAUAUAGCUAUGGUAGCAGCUCGUUCGCAAUUUCUUAGGACUCGUAUUAGACACGCUCGAGAAAAACGAGAUAAACAUAUGGAAGAAGUAUUUGGAACUGUCGAUAUACCGAUUAAAGAUAUGCCAUUAUUAGAGGUAAGACUGAAAGAUGCUGUGCCAGAAGCAUUUGAAAUGGUCCUAAACUAUAUUUACACCGAUCGUAUUGAUCCAACGAAAAAAAACGAAGAUGGAUCGAGCAGUCGUGUUGCUGAAGAUCCAUUAAGCAAUCGAAUUGUGCUUCUUAUGAUGGAUGUCUAUCGUUUAGCUUUACAGUUUAAUAUGAAAAGAUUAGAACAGUUGUGUGUCCAAUAUCUAAAAGCAACUAUAAGUCGUGCUAAUGUUUUGGAAGCAUUGCGUAACGCUGCUCAUUUAAAACUUUAUUUCAUAAAAGAGUUUUGUUUGAAUUUUAUCGUGAAAGAAAAUAAUUAUAAUCAAAUUGUAAUGAGUAAAGAAUUUGAGACUUUGGAUCAACCUUUAAUGGUGGAAAUUAUUAGAAAAAGACAAAUGCCUCAAAAAGGUGCAUUUCCUAGACAAUUUGAUCUUAAUGCAGGAACAACUUUGGAACAGGAUAUGGAAGCAUUUCUUAAAAGCGUUGGCAGAGAAUUUUGUGAUAUAACGCUCAUGUUAGAUGGUGUGCCAAUUCCAGCUCAUAAAGCUAUUCUUGCGGCACGAUGUAGCUAUUUCGAAGGAAUGUUCCGUUCUUUUAUGCCAGAAAAUAAUACUGUGAAUAUACAAAUCGGUGAAAUGAUCCCAUCUUCCGAAUCAUUUGAUUCUUUAUUGAGGUACAUUUAUUAUGCGGAUGUUUCGAUGCCACCUGAAGAUUCUUUGUAUUUAUUUACCGCACCAGUUUUUUAUGGUUUUACAAAUAAUCGAUUGCAAGCAUUUUGCAAACAAAAUCUCGAAAUGAAUGUUACUUUCGAAAAUGUUAUACAAAUCUUGGAAGCUGCGGAUAGAAUGCAAGCUGUUGAUAUGAAAAAAUAUGCAUUAAAUCUUAUCGUGCAUCAUUUUACAAAGGUUGCAAGGUUACCGAAGUUAAAACAAUUAAGUCGCGAACUUUUACUGGAUAUUCUGGAAGCAUUGGCCGAUGAACGUAGUGAAGCUCGAACAUGUCAAGACAUGGCGAAUGAUUGCUGACGGAUCUCGGGCUCACAUCGUCGUCCCCGUAGUUGGGAUUUGCCUUCGCCCUCGAGCUUUCAACCUGGAACUUUCCGAGAAUACGAGCAAGUAACAUCCUCCGUUCAAAAUCACAAUUGUACGUUCACAAACGACACGUGAAGUGUUAGUCACGGGGGAGAUUGUAAAAUAUUUUCAUCACGUGUAUAUUUUGUCGACAAUGUAUAAAAAAAAAAAAAAAAAGAAAAAGGAAAAAAAAAUACCCAUCGAUCCCCAGUGUUAUAAAUAUGUAUAUUAAACGUCUCGCAGUGUAAGAUAAUUUAUUGGAUAAAAGUAUAAGUUUGUACAGAAUACAUAUAUAUGUAUGUAUAUAUC
RNA transcript from Apis cerana (Asiatic honeybee), 3116 nucleotides. It is a transcript of the gene named Leucine zipper like transcription regulator 1, with no coding region annotated. Lineage: Eukaryota; Metazoa; Arthropoda; Insecta; Hymenoptera; Apidae. The record is from RefSeq and is a predicted model, not a curated record.